Molecule: ribosomal RNA, 503 nt
Filed under: uncultured bacterium
Lineage: Bacteria
Description: bacterial SSU rRNA
Rfam family: Bacterial small subunit ribosomal RNA
Source: RNAcentral
CCUUGGUAGUCUCAGAGAGUUGAUUAUGGCUCAGAACGAACGCUGGCGGCAUGGAUUAGGCAUGCAAGUCGAACGGUGCAGCAAUGCAUAGUGGCGCAAGGGUGAGGAACGCGUGAGUAACCUGCCCUCAAGUUGGGAACAGCUUCUGGAAACGGAAAUUAAUACCGAAUGUGACCAUUGGAAGGCAUCUUCUAUUGGUUAAAGGCCGCAAGGUCGCUUGAGGAGGGGCUCGCGUCCCAUUAUGCUAGUUGGUGAGGUAAAGGCUCACCAAGGCGAAGAUGGGUAGCUGGUCUGAGAGGACGAUCAGCCACACUGGGACUGAGAACUGCCCAGACUCCUACGGGAGGCUGCAGUCGAGAAUUUUGGGCAAUGGACGAAAGUCUGACCCAGCCAAUGCCGCGUGCGGGAUGAAGGUCUUCGGAUUGUAAACCGCUGUCAAGUGGGACGAAACAAAUGACGGUACCGCUGAAGGAAGUCACGGCUAACUACGUGCCAGCAGCCGC